GACGAACGCUGGCGGCGUGCUUAACACAUGCAAGUCGAACGGAAAGGCCCUGCUUUUGUGGGGUGCUCGAGUGGCGAACGGGUGAGUAACACGUGAGUAACCUGCCCUUGACUUUGGGAUAACUUCAGGAAACUGGGGCUAAUACCGGAUAGGAGCUCCUGCUGCAUGGUGGGGGUUGGAAAGUUUCGGCGGUUGGGGAUGGACUCGCGGCUUAUCAGCUUGUUGGUGGGGUAGUGGCUUACCAAGGCUUUGACGGGUAGCCGGCCUGAGAGGGUGACCGGCGACAUUGGGACUGAGAUACGGCCCAGACUCCUACGGGAGGCAGUAGUGGGGAAUAUUGCACAAUGGGCGGAAGCCUGAUGCAGCAACGCCGCGUGCGGGAUGACGGCCUUCGGGUUGUAAACCGCUUUCGCCUGUGACGAAGCGUGAGUGACGGUAAUGGGUAAAGAAGCACCGGCUAACUACGUG
RNAcentral lists this ribosomal RNA (468 nucleotides) under uncultured bacterium. Its description in RNAcentral is "partial 16S ribosomal RNA". It matches the Rfam family "Bacterial small subunit ribosomal RNA", at positions 28 to 507 of the family's 1533-position model. The record is from RNAcentral.